RNAcentral lists this transfer RNA (69 nucleotides) under Stegastes lacrymatus (whitespotted devil). Its description in RNAcentral is "tRNA-Met". It matches the Rfam family "tRNA". Rfam says of the family: Transfer RNA (tRNA) molecules are approximately 80 nucleotides in length. Their secondary structure includes four short double-helical elements and three loops (D, anti-codon, and T loops). Lineage: Eukaryota; Metazoa; Chordata; Actinopteri; Pomacentridae. RNAcentral also lists the same sequence under 1 other name. The record is from RNAcentral.
AGUAAAAUCAGCUAAUUAAGCUCUUGGGCCCAUACCCCAAACAUGUUGGUUAAAAUCCUUCUUUUACUA